GACGAACGCUGGCGGCGUGCUUAACACAUGCAAGUCGAACGGAAAGGCCUUUUCGGAGGUACUCGAGUGGCGAACGGGUGAGUAACACGUGGGUGAUUUGCCCUGCACUCUGGGAUAAGCCUGGGAAACUGGGUCUAAUACCUGAUAGGACCGCACUUUUGCUGGUGUGGUGGAAAGUUUUUUCGGUGUAGGAUGAGCCCGCGGCCUAUCAGCUUGUUGGUGGGGUAAUGGCCUACCAAUGCGGCGACGGGUAGCCGGACUGGGAGGUUGGUCGGCCACAUUGGGGCUGAGAUACGGCCCAGACUCCUACGGGGGGCAGGAGGGGGGAAUAUUGCACAAUGGGCGCAAGCCUGAUGCAGCGACGCCGCGUGGGGGAUGACGGGCUUCGGGUUGUAAACUCCUUUCGCCAGGGACGAAGCGUUUUGUGACGGUACCUGGAGAAGAAGCACCGGCUAACUACGUG
This 463-nucleotide ribosomal RNA is filed under the name uncultured bacterium. RNAcentral's name for it is "partial 16S ribosomal RNA". It matches the Rfam family "Bacterial small subunit ribosomal RNA", at positions 28 to 507 of the family's 1533-position model. The record is from RNAcentral.